RNAcentral lists this transfer RNA (93 nucleotides) under Actinoplanes sp. OR16. Its description in RNAcentral is "tRNA-Gln". The record is from RNAcentral. Lineage: Bacteria; Bacillati; Actinomycetota; Actinomycetes; Micromonosporales; Micromonosporaceae.
CGACCUGCUGGGUGAGCAGGACGCCGCCUGGUUUGAGCAGGCGGGCGAUGUCGAACGCCGGAAGCCUGCCGUGCCGGCUCAGCACCAGGUCGA